RNAcentral lists this non-coding RNA (111 nucleotides) under Acidithiobacillales bacterium. Its description in RNAcentral is "TPP sequence". It matches the Rfam family "TPP riboswitch aptamer (THI element)". Rfam says of the family: Vitamin B(1) in its active form thiamin pyrophosphate (TPP) is an essential coenzyme that is synthesised by coupling of pyrimidine and thiazole moieties in bacteria. The previously detected thiamin-regulatory element, thi box was extended, resulting in a new, highly conserved RNA secondary structure, the THI element, which is widely distributed in eubacteria and also occurs in some archaea. Analysis of operon structures identified a large number of new candidate thiamin-regulated genes, mostly transporters, in various prokaryotic organisms. Lineage: Bacteria; Pseudomonadati; Pseudomonadota; Acidithiobacillia; Acidithiobacillales. The record is from RNAcentral.
UUUUACGGCUAGGGGAAUCUGCCCGACCAGGACGGUCGGUGUGGAUUGAGAAUCCAACCCUUGGAACCUGACCCAGUUAACACUGGCGUAGGGAAGCUGCUCCACCCUGCU